Molecule: long non-coding RNA, 489 nt
Organism: Microplitis mediator
Lineage: Eukaryota; Metazoa; Arthropoda; Insecta; Hymenoptera; Braconidae
Exons: 3
Source: RefSeq, a predicted model, not a curated record
UUGUUGUAUUGUUUAUGCUGGUUGGCUGUGAGGAUGACAGGUAAAUUUGUUAGUGACCUUUUUGUCGGGAAAACGACAAUGACGGGGACGAGGAUAUGACACUCAUGCACUAACUCACGUAUCAAAACUCGAGUUGUUGUUACUUCCUGACUGUGACCUCGUCCGCACCCUGAUUGGCCGGAGACUGUAGAGAAUUUUGUUAGAAGUGAUUUCUCGACCUCGAUGUCAUUGUAGCGACUCGGCUUUAAAUUACGGGAAUAUGCUGAAGUUACUUUUGUUUCAGGCUCUGUUGGUACAGACACGAGGGUCGUAAAUUAAAUCUAGUCAUGGUGAAGACGAUGCAGAUGGUUUUUAAAAUUGAAGAUCAUAUUCUUCAUUUGUUAAAAUUGUUAAUAAAAUAUCGGAUUAUUUUUAUGGUAUUUUGUAACUGAUGUUAAUGAGAUUUAAUUAAUGUCAAUAAAUUUUUCCAUGUACUUCAAUAUGGCCUAU